RNAcentral lists this non-coding RNA (84 nucleotides) under Clostridium felsineum. Its description in RNAcentral is "Clostridium roseum c-di-GMP-II sequence". It matches the Rfam family "Cyclic di-GMP-II riboswitch aptamer". Lineage: Bacteria; Bacillati; Bacillota; Clostridia; Eubacteriales; Clostridiaceae. The record is from RNAcentral.
UUAUGUUUUGGAAACAAUGAUAAAUUCCUCUAACCUGGACACUUGAGGGAUUUGGAGUUAGUAGUGUAACCGGCCAACAAUUAA